AAGCCCGCGAGAAGAACAACAAACAGGGACAGGGUAUAGGUCCAUAAAAGUUCCGGGUCAAGGAUAAUAAUGACUUGCGGUACUCCCAAUAAAUCUCCGGCAUCCCGUUUAUCCAUCUGAGGUCCGAGAGUCUUUCAAUGCCUUUGACGCCUUACUAGCCGCUCUGUUCAGGAUGAGUCCAGGUUUCCUUCAAGGCUUCCUUUGACUUUCCGAACUGACAGAAGAAUCGCACGCACCACCUGGGGCUCACUGUGGCCUGAGUAGGACGCAGGGGUGAAUGUUUACCUAGGUACUCGAUGCUUUCGAACCUUGCAUCUUCAGAGUUGCAAUAGGUAAAGCGCUGAGAGAUAGGGAAGUGGGUGCUUGCUUCGCUCAAUCCAUGACCAUUGAACCCUCGUCGCGGAAAUUAUAUUUGAAGAAAAC
This 423-nucleotide small RNA is filed under the name Histoplasma capsulatum var. duboisii H88. RNAcentral describes it as "Histoplasma capsulatum H88 hypothetical RNA". Lineage: Eukaryota; Fungi; Ascomycota; Eurotiomycetes; Onygenales; Ajellomycetaceae. The record is from RNAcentral.